AGUGAACGCUGGCGGUAGGCCUAACACAUGCAAGUCGAACGGCAGCACAGUAAGAGCUUGCUCUUACGGGUGGCGAGUGGCGGACGGGUGAGGAAUACAUCGGAAUCUACUUUUUCGUGGGGGAUAACGUAGGGAAACUUACGCUAAUACCGCAUCCGACCUACGGGUGAAAGCAGGGGAUCUUCGGACCUUGCGCGAUUGAAUGAGCCGAUGUCGGAUUAGCUAGUUGGCGGGGUAAAGGCCCACCAAGGCGACGAUCCGUAGCUGGUCUGAGAGGAUGAUCAGCCACACUGGAACUGAGACACGGUCCAGACUCCUACGGGAGGCAGCAGUGGGGAAUAUUGGACAAUGGGCGCAAGCCUGAUCCAGCAAUACCGCGUGGGUGAAGAAGGCCUUCGGGUUGUAAAGCCCUUUUGUUGGGAAAGAAAAGCAGCAGGUUAAUACCCCGCUGUUCUGACGGUACCCUAAGAAUAAGCACCGGCUAACUUCGUG
Molecule: ribosomal RNA, 492 nt
Filed under: uncultured bacterium
Lineage: Bacteria
Description: partial 16S ribosomal RNA
Rfam family: Bacterial small subunit ribosomal RNA
Source: RNAcentral